Molecule: long non-coding RNA, 747 nt
Filed under: Salmo salar (Atlantic salmon)
Lineage: Eukaryota; Metazoa; Chordata; Actinopteri; Salmoniformes; Salmonidae
Description: lncRNA (ENSSSAG00000113640.1)
Source: RNAcentral
CUUGUAUAGCUACAUAUGAAAGUGAUCUACUCUGGCCAUCAGGUGUUGCCUUGUAUAGCUACAUAUGAAAGUGAUCUACUCUGGCCAUCAGGUGUUGCCUUGUAUAGCUACAUAUGAAAGUGAUCUACUCUGGCCAUCAGGUGUUGACUUGUAUAGCUACAUAUGAAAGGGAUCUACUCUGGCCAUCAGGUGUUGACUUGUAUAGCUACAUAUGAAAGGGAUCUACUCUGGUCAUCAGGUGUUGACUUGUAUAGCUACAUAUGAAAGUGAUCUACUCUGGCCAUCAGGUGUUGACUUGUAUAGCUACAUAUGAAAGUGAUCUACUCUGGUCAUCAGGUGUUGACUUGUAUAGCUACAUAUGAAAGUGAUCUACUCUGGCCAUCAGGUGUUGACUUGUAUAGCUACAUAUGAAAGUGAUCUACUCUGGUCAUCAGGUGUUGACUUGUAUAGCUACAUAUGAAAGUGAUCUACUCUGGUCAUCAGGUGUGGACUUGUAUAGCUACAUAUGAAAGGGAUCUACUCUGGCCAUCAGGUGUUGACUUGUAUAGCUACAUAUGAAAGUGAUCUACUCUGGCCAUCAGGUGUGGACUUGUAUAGCUACAUAUGAAAGUGAUCUACUCUGGUCAUCAGGUGUUGGCUUGUAUAGCUACAUAUGAAAGUGAUCUACUCUGGCCAUCAGGUAUCUGAUGAGAGAUGUUGUGACUAAAUAUCUGUUCAUCAUUCACAGCCCAAUGAACAAACUCCACU